This 427-nucleotide ribosomal RNA is filed under the name uncultured bacterium. Its description in RNAcentral is "partial 16S ribosomal RNA". It matches the Rfam family "Bacterial small subunit ribosomal RNA", at positions 355 to 774 of the family's 1533-position model. The record is from RNAcentral.
UGGGGAAUAUUGGACAAUGGGCGAAAGCCUGAUCCAGCCAUGCCGCGUGUGUGAAGAAGGUCUUCGGAUUGUAAAGCACUUUAAGUUGGGAGGAAGGGCAUUAACCUAAUACGUUAGUGUUUUGACGUUACCGACAGAAUAAGCACCGGCUAACUCUGUGCCAGCAGCCGCGGUAAUACAGAGGGUGCAAGCGUUAAUGGGAAUUACUGGGCGUAAAGCGCGAGUAGGUGGUUUGUUAAGUUGGAUGUGAAAUCCCCGGGCUCAACCUGGGAACUGCAUUCAAAACUGACUGACUAGAGUAUGGUAGAGGGUGGUGGAAUUUCCUGUGUAGCGGUGAAAUGCGUAGAUAUAGGAAGGAACACCAGUGGCGAAGGCGACCACCUGGACUAAUACUGACACUGAGGUGCGAAAGCGUGGGGAGCAAACA